GGGUAAAAUUAAAAGAAAUCUGAAAUUCAAUUUAAACGCACAGCAAGAAUAGGGGGACCAAAUGCACAAAUAGACCAUCUAAGGUCAGAAUGCGCAGAUUCCCCUCCCCCCAAACGGCGCCAUUUCGCUUAUGUCUUAAAUUAACCAAAGGAAAAAAAUUGAAAUCAAAUCUGUUCCAUUUAAAAAGAAAUCAAUUGCUGCUAGGGCUUUUCUCCUAUCCCUCUUGCGCCGUCGAUCAUCUAUUCCCCCUCCAAAACUCCGAUUGCGACGGAGAUGGUAGUGGCGCGACAGCCUCGACGAGAAGGUGAGCUUUUCUUCCUCCUCUUCUUUUAUAUUAUUUGCAAUAUAGAACCAAAAAACAGAAAAAGGAAAAUCUAAAAAAAUCUAAUAAUCACCUUUUAAAGAAUGAAUAAUCGAUUUGCUCUCGUAUUAGUUUUCUCUGUAUUUUCAGUCUCUUCCCCCCUUUCUUUUACAUAUUAAAUGGCCUUUUAUAGGCUGAAGAAAAAAAACAAAAUAAAUCGAUGACAUUAUUUUUUGCUUGUUUUUCUCCUCUGGAUUCUUUGAGUCCGCGAUUGCAGGAGUUCGUGGAGUGUACGACGCGAGGAAAAGGGGUGGUUCCGCAACGUGCGCUGAUCAGAUCUGCUGGAGCGCGUCGUAGGGGCUGUUGCGGCGCUGAGGCGAAUGCAUCUAGGGUUUCGGUGUUUUGGGGUUUGGGUAAUUGGGCCUAGGCUAGUAGUUUUGCUGUAUUGGGCCAUGUCCUGUUUUGUGCGGGCUUGGGUUAUUUUUGUUUGUUUUUAUUAUUUUAAAAGCUCGGGCAAAAGGGCUAUUACAAGCCUGAUUCUAAAUAUAUUUUUUUUACACAGAGAAACAAGCAAUCAAACGAAAAAAAAAAGAACAAAAAGCAUUAAAAGAUAAAAAAACAAAGGUGAUUUCUCUUGUUUUUUGUUUUGUUUUUUUUUAAUUUUUGAAAAAAAUAAAUAAAAAUACAAAAAUCGUUUUUUUACCUAAGUCGCUUCAUCUCCCCUUGUUGUCGGAGGCCUUCUCCGGCUUCAAAUCCCAGAAUCCAUUAGGGUUUGGCCUAGGCUUCAACAGAGCAGGGCCUGAACGGCAUGAAAUGAGCCGAAGGUUCCUUUUUUUAUUAAUUUUUCUCGCGGAUAGAAGGCAUUGCCUUCAUUUUGGGGUUCAAAAGGGGUUAAAACUCUUUUUAAUAAAAAAAGGAAAAAAGGAAGGAGAAAGGUACUUUUCUGGCCCCCGGAGGUGACGGCCACCGUAUCCGAUGACAGGUGGCCACGGUGGACCACGGCGGGGCGACGACGGUCCUAUGGCCCGACCCUGGGGCGUGUUUCAGAGAAAAAAAUAGGAAAAUGGAGUUUAAAAAAAAACACAAUUGAAAUUAUUAUUAUUUUUUUUGAUGCCGUUUCGGGAUUGGCCUCAGGAGCCGAAAACGACAUCAUUUUGAAAUAGGACUCGACUCGAACUGCAUAGGAUCCACGUAUUUUUUAUGUGGGUGGUCUAUUUACGCAUUUGGUCCAUCUGCUUUUGCAACUUGUUUCAAUUUAGCCCUUUUUCUUUUUAAUUAUUUUAUUUCUUUCCCUGUAAUUUUGAAUUGCUUACAAAUUAGUCCCCUGACUGAGCGCCGACCUUCUGGAGAAUGACGCGUGUCCUGGAGUUUGGGAUAAUUUAUCAUUUAGUCCUUAUUUCUUUUCGCGCAUUUCAUUUUGGUCCUUUAUUCUGUUUUAUUAGUUAUCUUUUAUUAUUUACAAUUUAUACCCCCUAAGUUCAUUCUAAUUUCAAUUUAAUACUUGGUUUAUUUAAACUUCAACCUUUUUUACAAAUUAUUUUAUUUAUUUAUUUAUUACUUCUUUAUUUUUUUAUAUGCUUAAGAAUUAAAUUGUUUACGUUCUUUUAUUUGAGCCUU
This 1918-nucleotide long non-coding RNA is filed under the name Gossypium barbadense (sea-island cotton). Its description in RNAcentral is "long non-coding RNA (GBAR_LNC017411)". Lineage: Eukaryota; Viridiplantae; Streptophyta; Magnoliopsida; Malvales; Malvaceae. The record is from RNAcentral.